RNAcentral lists this transfer RNA (69 nucleotides) under Drepanotermes sp. QLD_042. RNAcentral describes it as "tRNA-Phe". The record is from RNAcentral. Lineage: Eukaryota; Metazoa; Arthropoda; Insecta; Blattodea; Termitidae.
ACUUGAAUAGCUUAUAAUAUAAGAGCGUGACACUGAAGAUGUCGAGGAGGUAUUUUAUGCCUUUAAGUG